Molecule: transfer RNA, 73 nt
Filed under: Marmota monax (woodchuck)
Lineage: Eukaryota; Metazoa; Chordata; Mammalia; Rodentia; Sciuridae
Description: tRNA.Ala
Source: RNAcentral
UGAAGACAUAGGUCAGUGGCAGAACACUUGCCUAGCAUGCAGGAGGCCCUGAGUUCUAUCCACAGCACUGCAA